UACGUAGGUUGCAAGCGUUGUCCGGAUUUACUGGGUGUAAAGGGCGUGUAGGCGGAGAUGCAAGUUGGGAGUGAAAUCCCGGGGCUCAACCCCGGAACUGCUUUCAAAACUGUAUCCCUUGAGUAUCGGAGAGGCAAGCGGAAUUCCUAGUGUAGCGGUGAAAUGCGUAGAUAUUAGGAGGAACACCAGUGGCGAAGGCGGCUUGCUGGACGACAACUGACGCUGAGGCGCGAAAGCGUGGGGAGCAAACAGG
This 253-nucleotide ribosomal RNA is filed under the name uncultured bacterium. RNAcentral describes it as "partial 16S ribosomal RNA". It matches the Rfam family "Bacterial small subunit ribosomal RNA", at positions 524 to 776 of the family's 1533-position model. The record is from RNAcentral.